RNAcentral lists this ribosomal RNA (253 nucleotides) under uncultured bacterium. RNAcentral's name for it is "partial 16S ribosomal RNA". It matches the Rfam family "Bacterial small subunit ribosomal RNA", at positions 524 to 776 of the family's 1533-position model. The record is from RNAcentral.
GACAGAGGGUGCAAACGUUGCUCGGAAUCACUGGGCGUAAAGCGUGCGCAGGCGGUUCGUUGUGUCGGCGGUGAAAGCCCCGGGCUUAACCUGGGAAUGGCCGUCGAAACUGGCGAACUGGAGUGUGGCAGAGGGGGGUGGAAUUCCGCGUGUAGCAGUGAAAUGCGUAGAGAUGCGGAGGAACACCGAUGGCGAAGGCAGCCCCCUGGGCUGACACUGACGCUCAGGCACGAAAGCGUGGGGAGCAAACAGG